AUGCUGGCCGAGGUCCUCCGGCAGGUCGGCGGCUCGCCGCCGGCGUACGCCACGCAGUGGCUGUCGGACGGGUACCUGGCCACCGUGCAGACCACGGUCCCCCUGCGGUGCCACCCUUGGUGCAGGACCGUGCUGCGGGUGGCCGGGGCCGUGGCCCGCGACGUGUGCGCCGCGGAGGAGGGUGCCGCCGACGCGCUGAUCCGCCUGAUGAGGAGCAGGCACGGCGUGCAGAUCGACGACGCGAACUGGUCCCCGGCGGCGAGCAGGGCGCCGCGCCGUGCCGAUACGCGCUGGUUCGCCGGGAGGGCGGCCGUUGUGAACGUUGGGGCGUACGGUGGAUUCGCUUCGCCGUGGUGCCGUUCGUACGACGCAGUUCGUCUCGGUCGGGGUGUUGGCGUAUCCGUGUGGUGA
RNAcentral lists this ribosomal RNA (411 nucleotides) under Triticum aestivum (bread wheat). RNAcentral's name for it is "partial small subunit ribosomal RNA". Lineage: Eukaryota; Viridiplantae; Streptophyta; Magnoliopsida; Poales; Poaceae. The record is from RNAcentral.